This 253-nucleotide ribosomal RNA is filed under the name uncultured bacterium. Its description in RNAcentral is "partial 16S ribosomal RNA". It matches the Rfam family "Bacterial small subunit ribosomal RNA", at positions 524 to 776 of the family's 1533-position model. The record is from RNAcentral.
AACGUAGGAGACAAACGUUAUCCGGAGUUACUGGGCGUAAAGCGUGUGUAGGCGGCCACGUAAGUCGGAUGUGAAAGCCCCGGGCUCAACCCGGGAAGUGCACUCGAUACUGCGUGGCUUGAGUACUGGAGAGGUUGGUGGAAUUCUCGGUGUAGAGGUGAAAUUCGUAGAUAUCGAGAGGAACACCGGUGGCGAAGGCGACCAACUGGACAGAUACUGACGCUGAGACACGAAAGCGUGGGGAGCAAACAGG